Molecule: ribosomal RNA, 430 nt
Filed under: uncultured bacterium
Lineage: Bacteria
Description: bacterial SSU rRNA
Rfam family: Bacterial small subunit ribosomal RNA
Source: RNAcentral
AACGAACGCUGGCGGCAGGCCUAACACAUGCAAGUCGAGCGCCUCGCAAGAGGAGCGGCAGACGGGUGAGUAACGCGUGGGAAACUACCCUUUGGUACGGAACAACUCGGCGAAAGCUGAGCUAAUACCGUAUGUGUCCUUCGGGAGAAAGAUUUAUCGCCAAAGGAUGUGCCCGCGUCGGAUUAGCUAGUUGGUGGGGUAACGGCCCACCAAGGCGACGAUCCGUAGCUGGUCUGAGAGGAUGAUCAGCCACACUGGGACUGAGACACGGCCCAGACUCCUACGGGAGGCAGCAGUGGGGAAUAUUGGACAAUGGGGGCAACCCUGAUCCAGCCAUGCCGCGUGAGUGAUGAAGGCCUUAGGGUUGUAAAGCUCUUUCGCCCGCGAAGAUAAUGACUGUAGCGGGAGAAGAAGCCCCGGCUAACUCGUG